CGGGCCAGGCGAGGGAGCCGGAUAAAGAAAGGAGAGCAGAGGAGAAGGAAAAAAACCUGCCUAGAAGAGAGGGGAGCAAGCAGCGCUAUUCGACCAACGGAUAGGACAAGGCCAGCCACGGCUGGUCGGACGGAGUGGAGUUUAUUAAAAAAACAUGUAUUUUAUUCCGUCGUUUUAUUUGAUCCUGUAGGCUACUAGCUACAAUACUUCUUCCCAGCCGUGCAGGUUUUCCUGGGAGAAGAAGGCAACGAAAACGGACACGUUGGGGAUUUCUGUGGACUAGUAACGUUAGCCGAGCUGUUGUAGGCUAGUGUGGCGCUACUCUUCUUUCUCAUUGUUAGAAAAACACGGAGAUACAUGGUGGUUGGAUUCCAAACUGGUUCGCCUACAUUCCCCGUCGCUUUCCACGAGACAGCGUUUGGAUAUAGGCCGGAUUAUUAUUUUGUCGAACGCAGGAGUAACAUUUGUGACAAGCUAGUCUGCUAAUUGUUGCCAUUUUUCCCCCCUCGCAGCGGCAGCUCGGUUCGUUCUCCCUCCCCCUCUUUGUCGUUCGCCUAGCUGACCAUUUUAAAGGCAGCUCUACCUUUCCAGGCUUUAUUUCCCCCCCCUGUGGCCUCCUCGCUCCCUCUAUCUGCCUCAACCGUGGAACUACUGUUAGAAACCUACACCCGUGUUUCCGACUCGGAAUGCAAAAUACAUCUAGGCCUGGUUAUGCCAAAGAAACUAGUGUUUAUUUGUUUACAAAUACUGUGUAGGCCCAGAUCGACCGUUUACUUGCUUUUUUGUUUUACUUAGACAAUUGCAUGUUUACAGCUUGCUUGCCGCUAUUGGUCAUUUGAACGAGCAAUGGCAUUUUUAUAAUUAGUUUGAUUUCUUCCUUUGUUUAUUGGCUACUUUGAAUAGUUUAGUUUGAUGUCUUCCUUUGUUUAUUGGCUACUUUGAAACACUCGGUGUUUCGAGUCAGGGACAUUAAACUGUAAAGGGCAACUAGCCUGGGCUACCUCUGGGGAAAAAAUAUACUAUCUUCUCAUCUUCCUCCCUUCAUCGGACAACGUUCACCUUUUCCCUCCCUAGUUUUGUCGCAAAAACGGCGAGAUUUUUCUGAAAGGCAUGGAGGACCAGGCCCGCAUGAUGUCGGGUCUCGUCGGGCUGUCCGGACUGUCUCAGGUCGACGUGGGGGACCAUGACGCCGGGAGGAAGCAGCACUCCCUCGGUCAGCCGCAGCAGGACAUCGGGGAUAUCCUCCAGCAGAUCAUGGCCAUCACGGACGAGAGUCUCGACGAGGCCCAGGCCAGGAAACAUGCGUUAAACUGCCACAGAAUGAAGCCCGCCCUCUUCAGCGUGCUGUGUGAGAUCAAAGAAAAGACAGUCCUCAGUAUCCGUGGUAUCCAGGAUGAGGAUCCACCAGAUCCCCAGAUCAUGCGAUUGGACAACAUGUUGCUGGCAGAGGGCGUGUCCGGCCCGGAGAAGGGUGGGGCCUCGGCGGCGGCGGCGGCUGUAGCGGCGGCGGCCGCGGGCGGGUCCCCUAACGACGGCAGUAUAGAACACUCAGACUACAGGGCCAAGCUGACUCAGAUCAGAGGAAUAUACCACUCUGAACUGGAGAAAUAUGAACAGGCGUGCAGUGAGUUCACCAACCAUGUGAUGAACCUGCUGAGGGAGCAGAGUCGUACGCGGCCCAUCUCUCCCAAGGAGAUAGAGCGCAUGGUGGGGAUCAUCCACCGCAAGUUCAGCUCCAUUCAGAUGCAGCUCAAACAGAGCACCUGUGAAGCCGUCAUGAUCCUACGCUCCAGAUUCCUCGACGCCAGACGGAAGAGACGUAACUUCAACAAGCAGGCUACUGAGGUGCUGAAUGAGUACUUCUACUCCCACCUGUCUAACCCCUACCCCAGUGAGGAGGCCAAAGAGGAACUGGCCAAGAAGUGUGCCAUCACCGUCUCUCAGGUGUCUAACUGGUUUGGUAACAAGAGGAUCAGGUACAAGAAGAACAUAGGGAAGUUCCAGGAGGAAGCUAACCUGUACGCUGUGAAAACAGCUGUAGAUGCAGCCAGCGUCUCCUCACAGGCCAGCCAGGCCAACUCCCCUGCCACGCCUAACUCAGGUGGAUACCCAGCACCAUGCUACACUCCUGACGGGAUGUUAUGAGGAGCUGCCUGGAGGAACUCUGUUUCCUCCCCACUGUCUCCAUGUCAGUAUCUAUGGUUGAUAGUGGAUGGCAGGACAGCACCGACCCCCCCUCCCUCACCCCCCCUCACGGGGCACCGGGCAGCGUGCACUCCGACACCUCAAACUGAGACACACACUCACCCCAAAUGCCCCCACCCCUCUACCCUUCAAAUUCCACUUCCUCCACCCUCACACAGCCACCCCUCUACCCACCCAAUCCCUCACCUGUAUCUCAAACUAACCCAAGUCCCAAAUAUGCCCCCCCCCACAUAUCAGUCAUACCUCAAGCUGAGACAACUUCCCCCCUGUUUUACCUGUACUUGAGCAUCAGUCUCCCCCUCCACUCCCGUUGCACCAUAACCCCCUAGCUCUUCCCUCCCUCCUCUCUCUCCCCCCUCUCCCGCCUCCUCUCUCCCCCCCUCUUUCUCCCUCCUCUCCUUCCCUCUUUUUCUUUAUUUUUAUAACCACUUAUUUUUCUCUCGUUUAAAAAAAGAUAAUUUAGUCACAUGUAGUUUUUUUUUUUUCUAAUACUGUUUCACAAAGACGCACCAGCCGCGUGUGUUGGAGCCUGACGUGGACGCAUCAUGUUACUCAAAAAGAAGAAGAAGAAUAAUAAUAAAAAAAUGCAUAACAAGAAAAAUAAAGAAAAAAAAUCUAAUGUUUCUCGUCUUCCAUGCAUGUAGUCCCUUUUAGGUGUUUAGCAACGAUUGUAUUUUUCCUUUUACUUUUUAGACUUUUUAAAAAAAAACAGUUGCUACAGAGACAUAAUGUACACAACGGAAAGUUCUAAAUGGCAGAAAAUAACCAAAAAUGAAUAAAUACAUUGUAUGUCAAUUAUUAA
Molecule: non-coding RNA, 3007 nt
Organism: Salmo salar (Atlantic salmon)
Lineage: Eukaryota; Metazoa; Chordata; Actinopteri; Salmoniformes; Salmonidae
Source: RefSeq, a predicted model, not a curated record